Molecule: ribosomal RNA, 1925 nt
Filed under: human gut metagenome
Description: bacterial LSU rRNA
Rfam family: Bacterial large subunit ribosomal RNA
Source: RNAcentral
UCAAGCGACUAAGUGUAUGUGGUGGAUGCCUUGGCGAUCACAGGCGAUGAAGGACGUGACAGCCUGCGAAAAGCUGUGGGGAGCUGGCAAAUAAGCUUUGAUCCACAGAUGUCCGAAUGAGGGAACUCACCUGCUUUGCAGGUAUCCCAUCCUGAAUAUAUAGGGAUGGGAGGCGAACGAAGCGAACUGAAACAUCUAAGUAGCUUCAGGAAAAGAAAUCAACCGAGAUUCCGAAAGUAGCGGCGAGCGAAAUCGGAUCAGCCCAGCACUCGAUAGCAGCCAACUUACGGGAACGGUCUGGAAAGUCCGGCCAUAGAGGGUGAUAGCCCCUUACUGGAAAAGGCAGCUGCGGUACUAAGUGUGCGAUAAGUAGAGCGGGACACGUGACAUCCUGCUCGAAGAUGGGGGGACCAUCCUCCAAGGCUAAAUACUCGUGAUCGACCGAUAGCGUACCAGUACUGUGAAGGAAAGGUUAAAAGAACCCCGGGAGGGGAGUGAAAUAGAUCCUGAAACCGCAUACAUACAAACAGUAGGAGCCUCGUUAAGGGGUGACUGCGUACCUUUUGCAUAAUGGGUCAGCGACUUACGUUUAAUGGCGAGCUUAACCGUAUAGGGGAGGCGCAGCGAAAGCGAGUUCGAACAGAGCGUUCAGUCGUUAGGCGUAGACCCGAAACCAGAUGAUCUAUCCAUGGCCAGGUUGAAGGUGUGGUAACACACACUGGAGGACCGAACCGACUAGUGUUGCAAAAUUAGCGGAUGAGCUGUGGAUAGGGGUGAAAGGCUAAACAAAUCUGGAGAUAGCUGGUUCUCCCCGAAAACUAUUGAGGUAGUGCCUCGUGUAUGACUCCAGGGGGUAGAGCACUGUUAUGGCUAGGGGGACAUGGCGUCUUACCAAACCAUGGCAAACUCCGAAUACUUGGAAGUUUGAGCACGGGAGACAGAGCACCGGGUGCUAACGUCCGGACUCAAGAGGGAAACAACCCAGACCGCCGGCUAAGGUCCCUAAUAUUGACUAAGUGGAAAACGAAGUGGAAAGGCUAAGACAGUCAGGAAGUUGGCUUAGAAGCAGCCAUCCUUCAAAGAAAGCGUAAUAGCUCACUGAUCGAGUCUUUCUGCGCGGAAGAUGUAACGGGGCUAAGUCAAUAACCGAAGCCGCGGAUUCACACUUGUGUGUGAGUGGUAGGGGAGCGUUCUGUAAGCCUGCGAAGGUGACUCGUAAGGGUUGCUGGAGGUAUCAGAAGUGCGAAUGCUGACAUGAGUAACGUUAAAGCGGGUGAAAAGCCCGCUCGCCGUAAGCCCAAGGUUUCCUGCUCUACGUUCAUCGGAGCAGGGUGAGUCGGCCCCUAAGGUGAGGCUGAGAAGCGUAACUGAUGGGAACAAGGUUAAUAUUCCUUGACCACCGCUGAAUGCGAAGGGGGGACGGAGUAUUGAAGAUCAUCCGGGUGUUGGAUAUCCCGGUUUGCGAGCGUAGGAGGCUGACAGGCAAAUCCGUCAGCGAAUCUCCGAGGCGAAGCAUCGAGCUCUCUUUUGAGCGAAGUGAUUGGAUGUGCUUCCAGGAAAAGCCUCUAAGCUCCAGUUCAGCGGGACCGUACCGCAAACCGACACUGGUGGGCGAGCUGAAUAUGCUCAGGCGCUUGAGAGAACUCAGGAGAAGGAACUCGGCAAAUUGACACCGUAACUUCGGGAUAAGGUGUGCCUUUGUAGCGUGGAGGGAGAAACACCCCGAGCGCGAAGAGGUCUCAGAUAAUCGGUGGCUGCGACUGUUUAUUAAAAACACAGCACUCUGCAAAGACGAAAGUCGACGUAUAGGGUGUGAUGCCUGCCCGGUGCUGGAAGAUUAAUUGAUGGGGUGCAAGCUCCUGAUCGAAGUCCCAGUAAACGGCGGCCGUAACUAUAACGGUCCUAAGGUAGCGAAAUUCCUUGUC